Non-coding RNA from Mesocricetus auratus (golden hamster), 121 nucleotides. The record is from Rfam. NCBI's taxonomy places the organism in Eukaryota, Metazoa, Chordata, Mammalia, Rodentia, Cricetidae.
UGUGUAUGUAGAAAAACUAGUCCUAUUUAAAAGGUAAUUGACAGGUGCAAAAAUAAACCCUCUUUUGCAACCCAGAACUCAAUGUUCAGUAUGAGUUUCGAUCCAUACAAGAAAGGAUGUA